This 424-nucleotide ribosomal RNA is filed under the name uncultured bacterium. Its description in RNAcentral is "bacterial SSU rRNA". It matches the Rfam family "Bacterial small subunit ribosomal RNA", at positions 355 to 796 of the family's 1533-position model. The record is from RNAcentral.
UGGGGAAUAUUGGACAAUGGGCGCAAGCCUGAUCCAGCCAUGCCGCGUGGGUGAUGAAGGCCCUAGGGUUGUAAAGCCCUUUCGGCGGGGAAGAUAAUGACGGUACCCGCAGAAGAAGCCCCGGCUAACUUCGUGCCAGCAGCCGCGGUAAUACGAAGGGGGCUAGCGUUGCUCGGAAUCACUGGGCGUAAAGCGCACGUAGGCGGCUUUUUAAGUCGGGGGUGAAAUCCUGGAGCUCAACUCCAGAACUGCCUUCGAUACUGAGAAGCUCGAGUCCGGGAGAGGUGAGUGGAACUGCGAGUGUAGAGGUGAAAUUCGUAGAUAUUCGCAAGAACACCAGUGGCGAAGGCGGCUCACUGGCCCGGUACUGACGCUGAGGUGCGAAAGCGUGGGGAGCAAACAGGAUUAGAUACCCGCGUAGUCC